CCAGCUCGAAGGCCACGAUGCUCAUCACACACAGGAUGGUCCCCAUCCGAUCUCGUGAGCGGGCUAAGGUCUGAGUAUUCGAAUCCCCCUCGAUAGGCUCUAGCAGGGCCCUGUCGUAAUCGACAGAGCGGCAUACCAGCAAAGCAGCUUUUUUCUCGCUUGCCCAAGAUCCUAUUCUGCAGGGGAGGCUUUGAGAAUAUUGGCUUUGAAAGGUGUCGCGGGGAUUAGGCAAGGCUUUGCUUCCGUUGGGUAUCAUACGACUUUGCCUUUAUCUCGCUAAGUGUCCCUCGUAUGGGGCGCCUUGAACGCGGGCAGGCUUGCAACCGGGAAUUCUCCAUGUUGUUGGUGUCGUUCUCGGUCUCAAAUUAGAUAUGGGAUCCCGCUGCGGUCUGUCGCAUGCAGUCGCCACCUGUGUGUUCAGGGCUGUUGGCUUGGGCCUCAAUAUGUUGAAGAGGUCGUUAGAGCGCCACGGCAACGCAUAAAAAUGGACUUCCUAGGUACACAGUCCUCGUCUUCGCGCGAAAAGAAGGCCUUUUGGCUGGAGCUCAUGCGGCUUCGUGUGGUGGAAUAAGAAGCAUACUCCUGGCGAACGAGAAGGCGAACGCAUGCAUUCCUUCUAGGUGUCCUUGUCCUUUAGUGCACUUCGUGGCUCGCGGUUCCUUGUGGACCGUGAAACUCGAUUCAGACUAUUCUCGGACUGG
RNAcentral lists this RNase P RNA (701 nucleotides) under Hydnomerulius pinastri MD-312. Its description in RNAcentral is "Nuclear RNase P". It matches the Rfam family "Nuclear RNase P". Rfam says of the family: Ribonuclease P (RNase P) is a ubiquitous endoribonuclease, found in archaea, bacteria and eukarya as well as chloroplasts and mitochondria. Its best characterised activity is the generation of mature 5'-ends of tRNAs by cleaving the 5'-leader elements of precursor-tRNAs. Lineage: Eukaryota; Fungi; Basidiomycota; Agaricomycetes; Boletales. The record is from Rfam by way of RNAcentral.